GCAGCGAUGUCCGAGUGGUUAAGGGGAUUGACUCAAAAUCAUUUGGGCUCUGCCCGCGUAGGUUCGAAUCCUGCUAGCUGCU
Molecule: transfer RNA, 82 nt
Filed under: Angiostrongylus costaricensis
Lineage: Eukaryota; Metazoa; Nematoda; Chromadorea; Rhabditida; Metastrongylidae
Rfam family: tRNA
About the family: Transfer RNA (tRNA) molecules are approximately 80 nucleotides in length. Their secondary structure includes four short double-helical elements and three loops (D, anti-codon, and T loops). Further hydrogen bonds mediate the characteristic L-shaped molecular structure. tRNAs have two regions of fundamental functional importance: the anti-codon, which is responsible for specific mRNA codon recognition, and the 3' end, to which the tRNAs corresponding amino acid is attached (by aminoacyl-tRNA synthetases). tRNAs cope with the degeneracy of the genetic code in two manners: having more than one tRNA (with a specific anti-codon) for a particular amino acid; and 'wobble' base-pairing, i.e. permitting non-standard base-pairing at the 3rd anti-codon position.
Source: Rfam by way of RNAcentral